UUUCUUUUGGUUCUCUUUGCAGCCAAAACCAAAGAUGAGUUUUCUCCACUUUCCUCUGCCAUAAACCUUCCUUCUACACUUGUUCUACCCCAUUCCUCUUCUUCUGGAACAAUCCAAUCCAAAUUUUUUUAAGAGACUUUAAUCGAUAUAUUACUCAAGAAAAAUCGACAAUUAUUUUGUGUCUUACCAGCAAUCGAUAUUCCUGCGGCGACAAGAAGAAGUGAAGAAAGAAUACAAAUAAGCUCAGAAUGGAGAAAGCGGAUCAAGCGUUGCGGAUCUAGCGGACCAAGCGGAUCGAGCGGAACAAGAGUGGAUCGAACGGAUCGAACGGAACAAAAGUGGAUCAAGCGGAUUUGGCGGUGGAACGUCAUAACUGUCAAAUGAGCUAAUCGCAGGAUCCAAGACGUUGUUUGAGAAGAAAAGGUGUUGUUGCACAGAGUAACAAAGCGCUUUGUACUCUUCUUGUGUGUCUGACAUUUGUUUUGGGGACAUGAUUCAGAGGAGAGAGCUGUAGAUUUACAACCAGAGCAAGUUAUUGGAACAUCAGGACAACAUUUGAUUGUAUGACCAAUCUCUUUGCAAUGGGUACAAGCCAAGGGCAUCUACGGAUUGGAUACAACCACUUUGCUGAUAUCUCUAGACUCAAACUGAAUGCUAACCGCCUCUAGAAACUGUUUCCUUAAGCUGAUAAGAGCAAGUACUUUAACUACCUCCAAAUAAGUUUUGUUAAUUUGUUGUUGAUGGGUGGAGAUAGUUAGUGUCCCAGGUAAGCAUGUGAUACGUUCAAGACCGUCUUCAUUGAACAAUUGGAAUGGAACACUAAGUAGCUUAAUCCAGAUAUGGGCAGAGGUGAGAUCAUGUUUAUCAGGAAGGUUUUCAGGCUUCCAUUGAGAAACAAACAUUGUUUGUUUGAUGAUGAUCAAUAAAUUUAAAAUUUCAUUUAAAAAAACAUUGUUUGACCUUCAAUCUA
Molecule: long non-coding RNA, 970 nt
Organism: Brassica rapa (field mustard)
Lineage: Eukaryota; Viridiplantae; Streptophyta; Magnoliopsida; Brassicales; Brassicaceae
Source: RefSeq, a predicted model, not a curated record